Molecule: long non-coding RNA, 1743 nt
Organism: Halichondria panicea
Lineage: Eukaryota; Metazoa; Porifera; Demospongiae; Suberitida; Halichondriidae
Exons: 4
Source: RefSeq, a predicted model, not a curated record
CUGAGGAAGUCUGACAGGCGCGGUGCAGCUCAAGCAAUUAGCCUCUGAGAUUAGAUUACUCUCAGCAAAAACAUAUGACAUGGGCGGUGUGUGGGAGGAUAAUUACUGAGCUGCACCUUGCCUGUCGUACCUCCUCGGCCUCUGAGUAUAGUUUAUAGUAUGGUCUGUACCAUGAUGUGCUCUGACACUAAGGAAUAUCCAUUGAAACUCUCAGGAUACUCCAGGGUACAAUCCCAUGUACCCUGCUAGGGUGCGUACAUAGGCUGUGGUCAUGCAGGAUCACAUUGUGAAGAUUAUUCUUCAGUAUCCAAUCAAAACUACCGGACCACAUUGGAACUGGGUUGUGUGAAGUUGUAGAUGUGGUUUGUUAAGUGCAAGCACACCCACACAAAAUGUGCACAUGCAUGCAUGGCAGGGAUCAAAGUGACAAAGAGUGUUUACUACUACUCAGUUGUAAAUGGGUUGGAUAACAGCAAUACUUGUUGCCCAGUGAGUGGGCAGAUCAAAGCAAUCCAGUGCUCAGUAUAUAUGGCAUGAUGCAUGCAUCACAACCCAUGGUACAACUAUUACUUGUACAGUUAUACGUUGUUAUACAUGCAGUAUGAUUUAUUUAUGUGCAUUUCAAGUGAGAGGAAAGUUUUAACAAUCCCUUUUCUUGAGAUCUCUGCGUAUACUACAGGAAGGCUAUGGCACUGUCCCAUGCUAAGCUGAGAUUUAGCUAUACAAGACGAUGCUCUGUUGGCUGUACUGUUUUAUGAGGAGUGCUUGGUGGGCUGUUUCAGUUACUCUGUGUUGAGCGUGAGCCCCUUCCCUCACCUGAUGGACUCCGGGGACAGUGGCUCCAUUUGGGGCAGAGUUUGCUGGUUUCAUGCGUGGACUACUGAAGAGAGUUGUGGAGUUAUGCAAGUGCUCUAACCCAACCGCUGCUCAGAGAAGAAUAAUUACGAGUUGUUCCCGUACCCAAGAGUGGUGAUCCAUCACUUGUCAACAACUACCGGCCAAUAUCAAUACUACCAGUUGUAAGCUAGACCCUGGAAAAACACGUGAAAGCACUACUGGAGGAGCACAUGAAAUUACAUUCACCAAUUUCCCCAAGGCAAUGGGGCUUUAUGUCAUCACGUUCAACUGUGUCAGCUCUCAUUCAAGUGAUUGAUGACUGGAGCAGGGCUGUCGACGGGGGAUAUGAGGUCUGUAUUGUAUUUUUUGAUGUCAAAAAAGCUUUUGACUCCGUCCCACAUGUUGCUCUUUUGAAGCACCUUCAGUAUAUGCACGUCAAUGAGUACAUUAUUAAGUGGAUGAAAAGUUAUCUACUGGACAGAGAGCAAUUUGUUGGAAUAGACGGAUGUUCUUAGCUAGUCUACCAGUCCUUUCUGGAGUUCCUCAAGGCUCGGUCUUAGGCCCCCUACUAUUCAUCUCUUAUAUCAACCUAUAGUAACAGAAGUUAUUUCACAGGACAGCAACCUCAACAUGUUUGCCGAUGAUAUGGCCCUGUAUAGAGUCAUCAAGUCUAAUAAUGACUACAUGCUACUUCAAAAUGAUGUAAAUGCUGUUUUCGACCUUCAUGAACUCUAGGCUACUUCAAUUCAAUGUGACAAAAUGCAAGUUUAUGUUCGUCUCCAAAAAGACCUCUCGCUCAUUGUUGCCUCCAGCUCUACACUUAAAUGGAACCUUGCUGCAACAAGUUCCAAAUUACAAAUAUCUGGGUCUCACAUUAUCUGAUGAUCUCUCCUGGCACCCUCAUAU